RNAcentral lists this ribosomal RNA (400 nucleotides) under uncultured Hyphomicrobiales bacterium. RNAcentral's name for it is "bacterial SSU rRNA". It matches the Rfam family "Bacterial small subunit ribosomal RNA", at positions 29 to 438 of the family's 1533-position model. Lineage: Bacteria; Pseudomonadati; Pseudomonadota; Alphaproteobacteria; Hyphomicrobiales. The record is from RNAcentral.
AAUGAACGCUGGCGGCAGGCCUAACACAUGCAAGUCGAACGGAGUUAUAUUGUAGCUUGCUAUGGUAUAACUUANUGGCAGACGGGUGAGUAAUGUAUAGGAAUCUACCUAGUAGUACGGAAUAAUUGUUGGAAACGGCAACUAAUACCGUAUACGCCCUACGGGGGAAAAAUUUAUUGCUAUUAGAUGAGCCUAUAUUAGAUUAGUUAGUUGGUGAGGUAAAGGCUUACCAAGACAAUGAUCUAUAGCUGAUCUGAGAGGAUGAUCAGCCACACUGGAACUGAGAUACGGUCCAGACUCCUACGGGAGGCAGCNGUGGGGAAUAUUGGACAAUGGGCGAAAGCCUGAUCCAGCCAUGCCGCAUGAGUGAAGAAGGCCUUCGGGUUGUAAAGCUCUUUUA